Molecule: transfer RNA, 51 nt
Filed under: Barnesiella sp.
Lineage: Bacteria; Pseudomonadati; Bacteroidota; Bacteroidia; Bacteroidales; Barnesiellaceae
Description: tRNA-Gly
Rfam family: tRNA
About the family: Transfer RNA (tRNA) molecules are approximately 80 nucleotides in length. Their secondary structure includes four short double-helical elements and three loops (D, anti-codon, and T loops). Further hydrogen bonds mediate the characteristic L-shaped molecular structure. tRNAs have two regions of fundamental functional importance: the anti-codon, which is responsible for specific mRNA codon recognition, and the 3' end, to which the tRNAs corresponding amino acid is attached (by aminoacyl-tRNA synthetases). tRNAs cope with the degeneracy of the genetic code in two manners: having more than one tRNA (with a specific anti-codon) for a particular amino acid; and 'wobble' base-pairing, i.e. permitting non-standard base-pairing at the 3rd anti-codon position.
Source: RNAcentral
GCGAAAAUAGCUCAGUUGGUAGAGCACAACCUUGCCAAGGUUGGGGUCGCG